Molecule: long non-coding RNA, 1146 nt
Organism: Xenia sp. Carnegie-2017
Lineage: Eukaryota; Metazoa; Cnidaria; Anthozoa; Malacalcyonacea; Xeniidae
Exons: 3
Source: RefSeq, a predicted model, not a curated record
UUCUGGUAAUCUAGUUCUACUUAGGAUCAUUUUGACAAAUUGACUUGUUCAUAUUUAAAAAUAUCUUUUACUAUCAUAAUUAAUACACUUCUGCUGUAAUUAUUAUGGUAUAUGUAAUUGUCUGGCUUAAGCUAACUUCUGGUGUUCAACAUCAAUUGAAAAAGACAAUUGUUUGCCAUAUUUGCAAGUACAAAUGUCAACGUGACCAAGCGAAGAUUAAAUUUUGAUUUUCAAUUCAUCAUGGUAGUUUGAUGUCAACACUGUUGUAUUCACCGGCUGAAGAGGGCUGUGAAAAUGUUUGGUGCCUAUGUGGUGGUUGAAUGGAAGUUAAGAAUACGAUGGGAAGAUGACGCUUUCACCUUGUUUGAUCCCUCAGUUGGAUUGGUUUGCCGAUAUGGUCGUUUGCAAAAGACGAUAAUGAAACACACAGUUUUUAUAUCGAUAUAAUUACCGCUGGUAAUGUCAAGUUGGGUAGAAGGGAGGGGGGUGUUCAUUCAGCAAUACGAAAAUAUGAAUGUGAUGCCGUCAAUGUCUAAUGCGCUAAAAUCUUGCUAAGAAUUUUUCUUUCAUGAUACUUUCUCCUCACACAUAGUGUGAAGUAUUUCGCCGGUUGGCCAUUCGGGGCAAUCAAAAAGUUAUUUAUUGCAACAAAAAGUAUAUUUCAUUCAUUGUUUUUCCAAUGAAUAAACUGAAAAAUACUUGCAUGGCUAUCGUGCUGACCUCUUUACUGGUGUGGCCUAAUUUUACCAUACAAGGUAAAAUAUAGUAAAUGGUGAUACAUUUCUUCUAUCGAAUGCUUUAUAUCUUUGUUUUCUACGUGCCGGUGUGAUGUGCCCUCUUCCACUAACUUUCGAAGCCAUCCUCUGACGCAAAACAAAGAGGAAAUGCCAGAAGUUGAAAAUUGAACUUCCUUGGGUCGUCUCGAAAUAACGAAUUGCGAUUAACACUUGCUGUGAAAAUUUAAAAUUUGUAAAGAAUUACUUCUGACGUCGUUUGAAGUUGACCUUCAUGCUAUAGAGUAUGCGAAACUGCGGAAAUUGAGAUGAUCUCGUCACGCGACACUGCAUAGCAGGACCAGGAUUUCAAAUUUUUUUCAUCAAAAAUUUUUUUGUUAACCAUUAAAAGAACAGGUUAUUUUUACUGUGA